Molecule: long non-coding RNA, 9297 nt
Organism: Columba livia (rock pigeon)
Lineage: Eukaryota; Metazoa; Chordata; Aves; Columbiformes; Columbidae
Exons: 4
Source: RefSeq, a predicted model, not a curated record
GCGUUACGGGAGAGGCGUCCGGCGCCUCUGGCCCCGAGCGGCCGGGCCGCUGCGGGGAAAGCUGAGAGGGCAAGAGGCACCGUCCCACCUCCCCGCGCACCGCCAGCAGCGGUCCCAGCCCCGCCGCUCUCCCGAGCCCCGCGGGCGCGCUGGGCCCGGCCCCCGUCCCCAGCCGCUGCCUUCAGGGGGAAGCUGUCACGUCGCAACGACAGGGGUUGCCGGCUUAAAAGUCACAGUCCCACUGCCGGGGUUGCGGACGUGGGGUGAGAGGAGCUGCCCGAGCUGAUGCUGAAUUUGUAAACGGGCCCCAGGUGGACACGUUGACAGUCGCUCCCCUCGCAAGCAACGAUGUGUCAAACUGCUUCCCUUGUAAGCUGACUGAAAUGCAGGUUUAGCUCGGGCUUUAACAAGUUACCCAAACCUCCACCCGGGCUUUUUUUAAUCCACAAGAAAGAAAAUGGACGUGGCGGUUUCCUGACUGUCUUUACUUAGACUUCACAUCUGGCCACUGCCACAGGCAGAGGUUUCCCAGAAUGGAGGGAACAUGGCACCAGUCACAGGCACCAGCACUGGCACGGUCCUGACUAAACAAGCUUCAGGCCAACAGUUGUGGAUUUUAAGUUGGCAAUCCUCUCCCAGGUGUGAUAGGAUUUAUUUGCUGCAGAAGCUGAGAGAGUGGUACAACACGCUGCUUCUCUCCUUCAUUGCCUUGUGUGACCCUGCGGAGAGAUGUGACACCAAAUGGCCUAGUCUGGGUGGACUGCAGGACUAGGAACCUAAUUAGCACCACAAACCUACACUAAAAUGAGCCUAGAGUGAUAGUUCUGUUCUGCACAUAAAUCUGGAUAAAAUACAGCAUUAGUACAAAUGUGGCAUUGACUUAAUUGUACACAGAAACACACGCUCAUUCUGAAAUCAGCCACCACUUUAAAGUGUCAUCCUUUCUCUAGCAUCUGUCCCUACACUUCUGUUUCAGCUGACGGAUGCUGCUGACUGAAAUACAGGUUUCCCCACAGAGGGGCCCCUGUAGCUUGGCAUUCUCAGUGUAUUUGGACUGUGUGUACUUAGUUGGAGAAGGGGUCAGGAUUUCAUACUGAGGUUUUAAGCAGAGCUCAGAAUUGUGCUGCAUGACACUCAAAGAGUUGCUUGAUGUCAGGGGGCAAGCAAAAGCUACAGGAAAGUUCAGCAGAAGCAUCUUGUCAUACAUCUGUGACUGUACUGGUACACCUGGAAGAAUAAUGAGCCCGCCCGUCGUGCUCAAAGAUGUCCUGCCGGCGAUUUUGCAUUCUCCACAUCGUCUCACGACAAAUGGUAGCAGAGGAUGGUUGGCAAAGCAGGAACUACAGAGCACAAUUACUGCGGUAAACAGCAUUCCUAAAGACGGAGCCAAGCCGGGUUGUAGGAGAGUGUGCUUUGUCCGGUAUCAAAAGACAAGCACCAGACAAGCUGGCCACUCGCCUUCUACUUUAAGACCGCGCUGAUAAUGGAUAUUGAAACAGCCGCGGCAUUGUUGACGAGUAUACUCUCUAAGAGAGGUAUUAAAUCGUCACAGGAAAACCUAGUCACAUUGAUUUUUUUAGCUCAGAAGUGGGGACACUCUGGAGAAACUCCACUUUCGUUUUCCCCAACGGAGUGGGACACAAUGUGGGAUAAGACGAUCAGAGGGGAAGAAGAGAAAGAAAUUAAAGCUCUGAGAGAAUUGUGGAAAAACGUGUUAGAAUCAUUAGAAGUAAUGAAGUCCAAACAAAGCGCUGUCCUGAGAGCCUCGAGGGCGCUUGUCCCAGAACAAACCUGGACUGAUAAAACUUGUCAGCCAAAAGAAAAGAGGGGCCUGUGGGCUACUCUGUGGGGUCUGCCUGCCGUUCGGGGUGGCCGGGGCUUCCCGGCUCAGCCAAUACUCUCACAAUCCGAUCUGCAGCGGGAGUUGGAAACUUCGCCGUCCGUAAACAAAGAACCGGGAGUUUUGCCGCCUGAGUCUCUGGGGCAAUGUGACAAGAAACCGGAAAUGUGACUAGGGGACUGUCCAGAUGCGGGAGGCCCUGAGUACCGCCCUCUACCUACAGCCCCACCUGUGCCCUGCCCCAAGCCAGACAUGCCCCCCUCUAAGACCAUUGCGUCAGCCGGGCCGGGGUCGCCCCACAACGUGCCUCCACAAACACCUGUGGAAGUUUCUUGUGAGCCUCCUUCUACAUCAUUGGGCUUACCCCAAGUAGUAGAGCAGUUACUGCAAGAGAUUACCAGCAAGCUUGAACAACUUGACUUGCGAAUUGUAGCAGCAGUUCAGCGAUCUACAAAUAAAUUAUAUAAACCAUCAUACAAUUCUUGUCAUCGCUGUGGAAGUAAAGAACACGUCCGAACGAAUUGUACUGCAGCAGUUUGGUGUGACAAAUGCCAGUCUAACAAUCAUGCUACAAAGACUUGCCGGAGAUCGGGAAACGGUCAAGUGAGCGCGAACGGAGUGCGCGCGAGGACACAAAGAACAUCUCCGAACCUGUAUUACAAUCAGCGACCAACCAUGAACCAGGUUUCUUUCACCUCAACAAGCCAAGCACCGCAGAAAGCCUCGGAGUUGAUGUGGAGACAGCAGUAGGUAUAACAUUGACCAAUACUGCAGUUCAUAGAAUACCAACAAAUGCUAAAGGACCUUUAUUUCGACAAGAUAGUCUCAUUGGAGGCCUAUUGAUUGGCUGUUCUUCUGCUAGUAUCAAGGGUCUUAUAGUAAUACCAGGGAUAAUUGAUGCAGAUUUCACAGGAACUGUUCAAAUCCUGGCCUACACUCUGCAUCCACCAAUUUUUAUUCCUUCUGGGAGUAAAAUAGCUCAGGUAGUAGCAUUGGAAAACUGCCUACCAAUGCUUCCAGGAGUUCCUCCAGCAUCCUUAGUAGAAAGGCAUGAUAAAGGAUUUGGAUCUACAGGUCCUGCAGUUUGCUUCACCUCAUCAAUGACUCAGCAUCCCAUGUUACGUGUACAACUAUUUCGAUCUGAUUCUACUGUUGUUGUAGAUGUAAAUGCAAUGCUUGAUACUGGAGCUGAUGUCUCCAUCAUUAGUCAAUUCAAAUAGCCACGAAAAUGGAAACUUCAAAAAUCAAUCUCUUCCACUGUAGCUGGAGUAGGGGGUCAAACUACUCCAAAUACAAGUGUUGAUCCCAUUUCCAUUAGUUUCCCUGAAGGUCAAUGUGUAGCCCUUAGGGUGUAUGUAAUGGAAUUGCCAAGCAGCCUUGAGGCACUUAUUGGAUGUGACGUCUUGGGGCAACUUGGUGCCGUGUUAACUACUUCACCUUUUCCUUAGUGGUCACUGGAAAGCAGUCACCCAGCCCUCCACUAACCUGGUUAACAGAUAGCCCAGUCUGGGUUGACCAGUGGCCAUUAACGCAAGAGCGACUGUAAAAGGCACAUGAAUUAGUACAAGAGGAAUUAGUUGCAGGCCAUAUCAAGCCUUCUACUAGUCCAUGGAAUACCCCGAUUUUUGUAAUACCAGAAAAGAGUGGAAAGUGGCAAUUAUCACAGUAUCACAGUAUGUUAGGGUUUGGAAGGGACCUCAAAAGAUCAUCUAGUCCAAUCCCCCUGCUGGAGCAGGAACGCCUAGGUGAGGUCGCACAGGAACAUGUCCAGGCGGGUUUUGAAUGUCUCCAGAGAAGGAGACUCCACAACCUCCCUGGGCAGCCUGUUCCAGUGCUCUGUCACCCUCACUGAGAAGAAGUUUUUUCUCAAAUUUAAGUGGAACCUCUUGUGUUCCAGCUUGAUCCCAUUACCCCUUGUCCUAUUAUUAUUGCCCCUUGUCCUAUUAUUACAUGACUUGUGAAAGGUAAAUGAUCAAAUGCAAGCCAUGGGUGCGUUACAGCCUGGAUUAUCAUAACCUGUAAUGUUACCAGAAAAUUGGCAUAUUCUAAUUGUAGAUUUAAAGGAUUGUUUCUUUACCAUUCCUUUACAUGAACAAGAUACACAGCGUUUUGCUUUUACACUGCCUUCUGUAAACAAAGCGGAACCAGCUAAAAGGUAUGAGUGGGUAGUGCUACCGCAAGGUAUGAAAAAUUCUCCUAUACUGUGCCAAAUGUAUGUUGCAUGGGCACUUCAACCUAUUCGUGCAUCAUGGAAACAAACUAUUAUUUAUCGUUAUAUGGAUGAUAUUCUGUUCUGUCAACAAGCUGAGUUCACAGAAAGUUCCAUAGUCGAAAUUAUGAUCAAACUCAAAGAAAAGGGGUUGGUCAUAGCUCCAGAGAAAGUUCAAAGGUCCGCACCUUGGAAAUCCCUUGGUUGGUCCAUUUGUGAUGCACAGAUUCGUCCACAAAAAAUCGAAUUACAUACUGAUUUACAGACAUUAAAUGAUGUCCAAAAAUUGUUAGGGGACAUACAAUGGAUUAGAAAUUGCAUAGGCAUUACUAACAAUGAUAUAGCACCUCUUACUUCACUUCUAAAAAGAGGUGAUCCAGCUAAGAAAAUAAGCUUAGAGUCCAUGCACCUCAAAUGUCUUUCCGAUAUUAUACAAAAGGUACAGACAAAUUGGUCUAGCCGAAUACUUUCUGAUUUCCCUUCUUAUUAGCAAUCUAGAACAUCCAUGUGCAAUCAUCUGCCAGUGGCAAAACAAAGAUGGGGAAUUCCCCAUAGAUCUUGCUACAGAUUCUUCCUUUUGUGCCACUGUCAGAUUGUAAACAGAAAAUUAUUUACGAUUAUUAGUAUGGCUUUUUCUUAGUGUCCAACCAAAAUUCAGCAUUCAAACAAGACCAGAAGCAGUUGGAGAAUUGAUUCGAAAAGGAAGAUCUUGAAUAAUAGAAAUUAGUGGUCAAGAACCAGAUGACGUCAGUAUUCCGAUAAAUGGAGCCGAUUUAGAAUGCUGGCUGAGAAAUUCGGUGCCUAUUCAGAAUGCAUUAUUAGGAUUUAUAGGCAAGGUACAUUCACGACAACCAAAAGGGAAGCUAUGGCAAUUCCUUAGAACAAAUCAGAGGUUAGAGAGAAGCAAAGUAAAAGCAAAACCUGUUGAAGGACUUACAGUAUAUACAGAUGCGGGAAAAUGAAGACACCAGGCAGCAUGUGUCUGGCAAGAGAAUAGUCAGUGGAAACAGCAUUUAAUUGAAGGUUCAAAAGAGGAUUCAUUGCAGACAUUAGAGCUCAUGGCAGUAAUAUGGGCCUUAAAUAACUGGCUGAAAUCUGCUUUAAAUGUUGUCACAGAUUCUUUGUAUGUAGCAGGUGUAAUACCCAGAAUGGAAAAUGCUCUGCUAAGACAAUCGAAUAAUCCUCGAUUAGGAAAAUUGUUUGUACAGUUGAGAGCUAUUUUAAAUCAAAGAAAAGAACCCUGCUGUGUGAUUCACAUUCGUAGUCAUCAAUGGAAUCUUGGUCUAGGUGAAGGAAAUCAAAUUGCAGAUAGUUUAGUAAGUUCAGUACAGCACAUGCCUCCAACAGAUAAAUUCCAACAAGCGAGACAAAGUCAUGAGAGCUUUCAUCAAAAUGCCAGAGGUCUGCAAAGACAAUUUGAUUUAACUUUAAAUGAAGCAAGAAGUAUUGUACAGGCAUGUCCUCAGUGUGGAGGCCAGAUGUUAGGUAUAGGAAUCGGUGUCAAUCCUCGAGGUUUAAAAGCCUUAGAAGUAUGGCAAAUGGAUGUGACACGUGCCAGAAUUCGGAAGACUUAAAUAUGUGCAUGUCACAAUUGAUACUUUUUCAAAAAUGAUAUGGGCUACUGCUUUACCAGGGGAAAAAGCACAACAUGUAUGUAAACAUCUCUCAGCUUGCUUUGCUGUAAUGGGUGUCCCAGAAAAGAUUAAGACAGACAAUGGCCCUGCCUAUGUUAGCCAGAAAGUUAGACCUUUCUAAUGAAAUGGGGAGUGAAACAUGUUACAGGUAUACCUCAUUCCCCAACGGGCCAAGGAAUCAUUGAGAGGGCACAUCAAAUGAUUAAAGGGUAUUUGAACAAAUAGAAGCAGGAAGAGUUAGAUUGCCAACAGUGUUUAGCAAAGGUGUUGUUUACCUUGAAUUAUUUAUGUUUAACUGGAGACCAUGAGGAGCCUCCUGUGAUCAUUCAUCAUUAUCAGAUCAGACUAGGAAGGAAGAACACUUUACCGGAAUUCAUGGUGAGAUAUCGUGAUCCCACCACUGGAAUGUGGAAGGGACCAGUACCUGUUAUUUUUAAUGGUAGAGGGUAUAUGUGUCUCUCUACAGAUCAAGGUCUAUUGUAGGUUCCAAGCUGAGCAGUAAAGCCGGAGUUGAAACAAAUUCAACUGAAUCAACUCCCUGCAACAGAACCUUCAGAGGACACAGAGUGAGGUGUAACCUUUGCAUUAAUUUAGCUGUGACAUGUAUGUGUAAUAUAGUUAUAUAAGUAGGCCUUUAAACACCACUACGUUCUGAGUAAGUUUAUCAACACCCAGCACAUUGUUUGUUACACGUUAAGUAGGAGUACCAUUAAACCAAAGUUCUUGAAAUUUGUUUAAUCAAUCCAUUGCAAUAUUUAAAUGGCAAUGGAAUACCUCAAGUAUACUAAGAAGAAAAAUAUUAGCGCAUGGUUUGACAACCCUGACAAUUGCUAUGAUCGCCUUCCCAUAGGGCCAGAGCCACAGGAAAUCAUACUGAUUCAUUCUUUGAACACCUCUUAUUGUAUUUUUAUAAAAAGAAAAAAGAAAGACGUAGGAUUUUUUGGUUUAGAAAGUUUAACAAAUUGGCUUGGCCUAGGGGGGUAGAUUAAGAGUUUAUUGCGAAGUACAUUGUUUCUGUUGAUUGUUGUUGUAAUUGAUAUGCUAUGUAUAAGUUGUCUUCUAUCACGUGUCAAAGAGGAAUUAGAACGCACAGCUAAUCAAGCCUGGCUUGUCCAAAAGGAAAAAAGAAGAAAAAAUAAAAAGAGGAAUUUGUGGAGAGUUUUUGGGCCGUAUGCUGUGAACAGGCCAGGGCUUGGGGUGACUGAGGUGCACUAGGACCGCACGGAAGUAAACAGAAGCUGGUCUGCCCUCGACCCAGGCUGCAGGAGGGGCACUGCCAUCGCUGCGCAUGAAAAGCAUGUGGACAGUGCCCUGCAGCUAAUCACCAUCGUGGUGGGGGGAAGAGUGACUGCAAGUGUAACCAAUCGUAGCCUGUGCUUGCCGCAUGGCCUUUCGGUAUAGAGUAUAUAAGGGUUGGAAAAACGUGGUCUGGGGACAUUGAUAUUCAGUGUUGUUAAGAGUUCAUUGAAGGGUACUGAUGUUAAAUUCAUAUUGAAUUAGACUCAUUACUCUCGCCUGCCCGCCCGUCGUGCUCAAAGAGGUCCUGCCGGCAAUUUUGCAUUCUCCACAUCGUCUCACGACAUCAGCACUGCAACUUCAUAUUAUAUUCUUCAAAACAUUAUCUUGCAAAAAUUAUAUGUCAAGUCAUGCUCUCUUCAGCUUCAUUGCUUCCAUGACAAAAGCCAGGGCAAUCAACAAAACUGUGAUCUUGCCUAGUAAGACCAUGAUGCUGAAGUCUGUUGCAAUUUCUACUGUGAAACCACUGAUGGCCUGACUGGCAAAACAGGCAGCUCAGCUUCAUGACAUUUAUUAUAACAGUUUUCCUUCUAUUUUUAGCCUGUAUACAAAGCAAAUUAGACACACUUAUUUAAUAAUAUUGCAUUUGUGGAUACAAGCAGCAGUUAUGUGGUUUUUAGUGUUAUCGUUGUCACGCUUCCUUCAAGGUGGUAGAAAAUGUGCAUAAAAACAUUGGGUAAGCAUUCCCCAUGUUUUGAGUCUUUUCUUACAACAAAACAAAACCUGGAAUGUUUUGGGGUAGCCGAAACUUGCACAGAUCGAUGCACAAUUUUGGAGACACGUGGAUUACAUGGUAGCAGGGCUUGCAGAGCUUAGGAAACUGCGUUCAUUUCUGUUCCUCUCUGUUCAAAAUUCAGAUGCUUUUACAUGUCUUAUCUUUUCAAAAUUAUCUCACAUUAAUAAUUGCACCGUUGCUCUUAAUUCAUGUUCUUAUGAGCAGUAAGGAGUGUAUUUAAUUAUUUAACAACUAUCUUGUACUUCUGUAGAUACUAAGUACAUUUUAAUUAUGAUCUACCUUCUCCAUAGUAUAAAAUGUGUCACUAAAAUGUAGUAGCAAAGUAAAAUAAUGUCUACAUUAAAACAGUAUCCAAAAUCAUGUCUCACUCUUUGCAAGGAUGUGGUGGGGUAGCCAGUGCUACCUGGUACCUUCAGUUCAGCUGGUGAGCUCCUACCUGCCAAUAGUCCAUCCACUGAGAAUGAAUGUUCACAGGCAUUUGCAAAUCUAGACUUGGCUUCAGAAGUAUGAAUACAAGGGGGAAAUUUAUCAUUUUGAUAACUAGAUCAGUUAUCCUGUUCAUGUCUGCAACUGAGAUAAUACAUUGAUGCACAAAGUUUUCAUUUUGGAAAACAGGCAAAUAGUUGCCAAGCUGGAAAGACAGAGAGAAAGUAGCAACGUAAUAUGCUUUAUUGUCUUUUCCUUGAAGCAUUCUUACCAUCCCAAUGUUUCUGGUGACAUCUGUCUUUGCUCAGUAGACAUGUGCCAUUGCAGUCCCAUCACCCUAUGCUGAGUUAUUGAAAAAACAACAUAUACGCAGCUCAGCAACACCCUGUUUACAGGAGAAAUGCUUGAAUUUCAGCACUUUCAACUUGGAGUGCUAUUUGGAAACACUUAGCUUAUAAAAAGUCUUACAGUUCAUGCUUUGACCUCACCAUGACCUGGACAUUUUGUUAACAAAGUACCCUGUUAAUGUUUUGAGCAAACGAACUAAUGUACUUGGGGCUGGUUGUAUUGCCAAAGUGGUGCUUGCUCCUAAAAAGGGAAAGUUCUAAUUCUAUUUUAAAAAGCAAUGUCUUAUUCCUAACUAUAUAUGGAAAUGUCAUCAAUCUGUCCUGGAAAAAGAGUGUGCACUGCAGUGCAUUGUAAUAGCUUGUGUUUCUGCAUUUGGUGUAACAAAUCUCGCCAUACGAUAGUGUGCAGUAGUAGUCUUUCGCUCUGUCUGUUUUCCCUCUGACAGCUUGAGUAGAUGUGAAUAUAAUUUUUGCUUUAAGCAUCAAAGCAUCAUCAGUGAAGUAUAAAAUAGCAAGCUAUUCAGAAGAGGGGAUAAUAAGACACAAAGCCACUCCCAACCAUAUUUACAACAGAAUUCUUUGACUGAGAUGUUUUUGCUUGUGUGUUUGUUUGUUUUGUUGUUGUUGUUGUUUUGUUUUGUUUUACUUUUAAUUGAGAUGUAAACUACUUGAACCCUUCAACCUCCAUGGGUGCAGCCUUCUGCUCUUGGGUCUUUUUUUGUCUUUUUUUUUUUUUCUUGUAAUAAAUGAUAGUUUAGCUAAAAAAAUGGAUUCUAAACAUUUCUAUCAGAGCCCUAUCAAUACCUGCU